AUGGUGGCCGAGGCGGAGGUGAUGCAUCAGCAGCCGGCGCCGGUUCUGGAGGUGCAGUACCGCGCGUGUGUCGCCAAGGGGGUCGGGAUGUCGGCGGUCGCCGUGCCGGAGGUGGAGGUGGAGGUCGAGGUCGCCGUCGAGCUGCCUCGCAUGGGAUUGGCGAACACCGAUGGUGCGACGAGCGUGUCCGCUGAAACCCUACAGUUUGUACCCAAUAUUCGGUCUGGAAGCUUUGCUGAUAUCGGACCUAGGAGGUACAUGGAAGAUGAACACAUCCGGAUAGAUGAUCUUUCAGCCCAUCUUGGCUCGCUGUUGGUUUGCCCACUACCUAGUGCCUUCUAUGGGGUGUUUGAUGGCCAUGGGGGUCCUGAUGCUGCAGCCUACAUGAAAAGACAUGCCAUGAGGUUCUUGUUUGAGGAUAGAGAGUUCCCACAAGCAUUGCAAGUGGAUGAUAUAUUCCUUCAAUCCGUUGAGGAAUGUAUUCGCAGCGCGUUCCUGCAAGCCGACCUUGCGCUGGCUGAUAAUCUAGACAUCAGCCGCUCCUCCGGAACUACAGCACUCGCAGCAUUAAUCUUUGGGAGGCAACUGUUGGUUGCGAACACCGGUGACUGCCGAGCGGUCCUUUGCCGGAGAGGCAUAGCGAUGGAGAUGUCCCGAGACCACAGGGCAAACUACGCCGAGGAGUGCGAGAGGGUGGCCGCCUCCGGCGGGUACAUCGAGGACGGGUACCUCAACGGGGUGCUCUCGGUGACGCGUGCCCUGGGCGACUGGGACAUGAAGAUGCCUGACUGCUCCACGUCGCCCCUCAUCGCGGAGCCCGAGUUCCAGCAGGCGACGCUGAGCGAGGACGACGAGUUCCUCAUCAUGGGGUGCGACGGGAUCUGGGACGUGAUGACGAGCCAGCACGCGGUGAGCGUGGUCCGGCACGGCCUGCGGCAGCACGACGACCCCGAGCGGUGCGCGCGGGAGCUCGUCAUGGAGGCGAAGCGGCUCGAGACGGCCGACAACCUCACCGUCAUUGUGGUGUGCUUUGGGUCGGAGCUCGGGUCCCCGCCGCCGCCCCCCGCUGUGGCGGCGGCGAGGCCGAGGAGCUGCAAGGGCCUGUCGGCGGAGGCCCUGUGCAACCUGAGGAGCUGGCUGGAGGCUGACCGCUAG
Molecule: ribosomal RNA, 1155 nt
Filed under: Triticum aestivum (bread wheat)
Lineage: Eukaryota; Viridiplantae; Streptophyta; Magnoliopsida; Poales; Poaceae
Description: partial small subunit ribosomal RNA
Source: RNAcentral